RNAcentral lists this ribosomal RNA (492 nucleotides) under uncultured bacterium. RNAcentral's name for it is "partial 16S ribosomal RNA". It matches the Rfam family "Bacterial small subunit ribosomal RNA", at positions 29 to 507 of the family's 1533-position model. The record is from RNAcentral.
AGUGAACGCUGGCGGUAGGCCUAACACGUGCAAGUCGAACAGCAGCACAGUAAGAGCUUGCUCUUACGGGUGGCGAGUGGCGGACGGGUGAGGAAUACAUCGGAAUCUACUUUUUCGUGGGGGAUAACGUAGGGAAACUUACGCUAAUACCGCAUACGACCUACGGGUGAAAGCAGGGGAUCUUCGGACCUUGCGCGAUUGAAUGAGCCGAUGUCGGAUUAGCUAGUUGGCGGGGUAAAGGCCCACCAAGGCGACGAUCCGUAGCUGGUCUGAGAGGAUGAUCAGCCACACUGGAACUGAGACACGGUCCAGACUCCUACGGGAGGCAGCAGUGGGGAAUAUUGGACAAUGGGCGCAAGCCUGAUCCAGCCAUACCGCGUGGGUGAAGAAGGCCUUCGGGUUGUAAAGCCCUUUUGUUGGGAAAGAAAAGCAGCAGGUUAAUACCCCGCUGUUCCGACGGUACCCAAAGAAUAAGCACCGGCUAACUUCGUG